ACAGGGAUUACCUCAGUAACGGCGAGUGAAGCGGUAACAGCUCAAAUUUGAAAUCUGGGUCUUUCAGGCUCCGAGUUGUAAUUUGUAGAAGAUGCUUUGGGUGCGGCCCCGGUCUAAGUUCCUUGGAACAGGACGUCAUAGAGGGUGAGAAUCCCGUAUGUGAUCGGUGGCUUGCGCCCGUGUAAAGCUCUUUCGACGAGUCGGGUUGUUUGGGAAUGCAGCUCUAAAUGGGUGGUAAAUUUCAUCUAAAGCUAAAUAUUGGCCAGAGACCGAUAGCGCACAAGUAGAGUGAUCGAAAGAUGAAAAGGACUUUGGAAAGAGAGUUAAACAGUACGUGAAAUUGUUGAAAGGGAAGCGCUUGCAACCAGACUUGCGCGGGGUUGAUCAUCCGGGGUUCUCCCCGGUGCACUCGGCCUCGCUCAGGCCAGCAUCGGUUUCGGUGGUUGGACAAAGGCCUUGGGAAUGUGACUUCUUUCGGGGAGUGUUAUAGCCCUCGGUGCAAUGCAGCCUACCGGGACCGAGGACCGCGCUUCGGCUAGGAUGCUGGCGUAAUGGUUGUAAGCGACCCGUCUUGAAACACGGACCAAGGAGUCUAACAUCUAUGCGAGUGUUUGGGUGUCAAACCCAUACGCGUAAUGAAAGUGAACGGAGGUGAGAACCCUUAAGGGUGCAUCAUCGACCGAUCCUGAUGUCUUCGGAUGGAUUUGAGUAAGAGCAUAGCUGUUGGGACCCGAAAGAUGGUGAACUAUGCCUGAAUAGGGUGAAGCCAGAGGAAACUCUGGUGGAGGCUCGCAGCGGUUCUGACGUGCAAAUCGAUCGUCAAAUUUGGGCAUAGGGGCGAAAGACUAAUCGAACCAUUGUGGGAGCAGUUGCUAGGUGGUUGAGAGGCAGCCGUAAUAGGCUGCCUAGUCCAAGGUCUAGGGCGACAUUGUCAAAUUGUUCGGGGACGUCCUGCUAAUGCUGAGCUACCGCAGCCUGCCGAAAGGGAGGUGCGCACCGGGCGUAAUGGCCUCGGGGAUGGUAAUAACGCUCUCGCUAGGGAUAAUCCGCAGCCAAGCCCUACCGGGACACUUCGGUGUCCCCACGGGUGCAGUUCACAGACUAAAUGGCAGUGGGUGCUACACCCGUAGCGCUUAAGAUAUAGUCGAGCCGCUGAGAGAUCAGUCGAGCGGACGAAAGGUGUUGAGGGGGCCACCUGCGCUUCGGUGCAGGUCCUGAACACCCAGAGCCGCUCGGGGGCUGGCGCGGGUACGCCCCGCGUCGAGC
RNAcentral lists this ribosomal RNA (1266 nucleotides) under Pezicula sporulosa. RNAcentral's name for it is "LSU rRNA". It matches the Rfam family "Eukaryotic large subunit ribosomal RNA", at positions 68 to 1888 of the family's 3401-position model. Lineage: Eukaryota; Fungi; Ascomycota; Leotiomycetes; Helotiales; Dermateaceae. The record is from RNAcentral.